This 511-nucleotide ribosomal RNA is filed under the name uncultured bacterium. Its description in RNAcentral is "partial 16S ribosomal RNA". The record is from RNAcentral.
GGAGUUAGCCGGUGCUUCUUCUGCGAGUAACGUCACAGAUGUAAGGUAUUAACUUACACCCUUUCCUCCUAGCUGAAAGUGCUUUACAACCCGAAGGCCUUCUUCACACACGCGGCAUGGCUGCAUCAGGGUUUCCCCCAUUGUGCAAUAUUCCCCACUGCUGCCUCCCGUAGGAGUCUGGGCCGUGUCUCAGUCCCAGUGUGGCUGAUCAUCCUCUCAGACCAGCUAGGGAUCGUCGCCUAGGUGAGCCUUUACCUCACCUACUAGCUAAUCCCACCUGGGCUUAUCCAUCAGCGCAAGGCCCGAAGGUCCCCUGCUUUCCCCCGUAGGGCGUAUGCGGUAUUAGCAGUCGUUUCCAACUGUUAUCCCCCACAAAUGGGCAAAUUCCCAGGCAUUACUCACCCGUCCGCCGCUCGUCAUCUUCAAAAGCAAGCUUUUGAAAUGUUACCGCUCGACUUGCAUGUGUUAGGCCUGCCGCCAGCGUUCAAUCUGAGCCAGGAUCAAACUCUGA